GACGAACGCUGCCGCGUGCCUUAUACAUGCAAGUAGAACGCUGAAGGAAGGAGCUUGCUCUUUCCGGAUGAGUUGCGAACGGGUGAGUAACGCGUAGGUAACCUGCCUGGUAGCGGGGGAUAACUAUUGGAAACGAUAGCUAAUACCGCAUAACAGUAGAUAUCGCAUGAUAGCUGCCUGAAAAAGUGCAAAUGCACCACUACCAGAUGGACCUGCGUUGUAUUAGCUAGUUGGUGAGGUAACGGCUCACCAAGGCAACGAUACAUAGCCGACCUGAGAGGGUGAUCGGCCACACUGGGACUGAGACACGGCCCAGACUUCCUACGGGAGGCAGCAGUAGGGAAUCUUCGGCAAUGGACGGAAGUCUGACCGAGUAACGCCGCGUGAGUGAAGAAGGUUUUCGGAUCGUAAAGCUCUGUUGUAAGAGAAGAACGAGUGUGAGAGUGGAAAGUUCACACUGUGACGUAUCUACCAGAAAGGA
This 481-nucleotide ribosomal RNA is filed under the name Streptococcus infantis. RNAcentral's name for it is "bacterial SSU rRNA". It matches the Rfam family "Bacterial small subunit ribosomal RNA", at positions 28 to 492 of the family's 1533-position model. The record is from RNAcentral. Lineage: Bacteria; Bacillati; Bacillota; Bacilli; Lactobacillales; Streptococcaceae.